Molecule: long non-coding RNA, 1235 nt
Organism: Oncorhynchus mykiss (rainbow trout)
Lineage: Eukaryota; Metazoa; Chordata; Actinopteri; Salmoniformes; Salmonidae
Source: RefSeq, a predicted model, not a curated record
AGAGAGACUCUUGAUAGAGAGAUUGAGAAAGAGAGAGAGAUAGAGAGAGGAAGAAAGAGGUGAGGAGAUCAUGGUUUCUGCUUUUAAUACCGAGGUUGACAAACUGUAUAAAUAUUUAUAACACUGGAUUAUUUGUAGAGUUAAAUUUACUUUAAAACUUUAGUUAUACUUACUAUUAUUUCCGUGUCCAAGAAGAGGUCAGAUAAGGAUUGUCUGCUGGACCAGAUGAAUGGUGAGAUUAAGAUAUAGAAGUAACACUUUAUAACUGCCAUAUUCCAAUGAAAUAUUUAUGAAUAUAUUGUAAAUCGUUCAUAAAUUGUUCAUCAUUAUAGCUAUUACAAAGCAACAAAAAAAACACUAAUGGACCUGAUAUUCAAUGUAUAAACCCAUUGAUAUUAUCUUUAUGACUGAAAUGGGGAAAAUGUAUAUGUCGUCGGAUAUGCCCUUGAAUUCUUCAGCGAGCGGUGUGAUCAUCUUUCAGUUCCAGCCAGGUGAGUCUGUCUGUGUCCCAAUAACACCAUAUUCCCUGUAUAGUGCACUACAUUCAAACGGAACCCUAUGGGCCCUGGUCAAAAGUAGUGCACUAAAACAGGGAUUAAGAUGCCAUUUGAGAGGCAGCCAUACACACUCGCAAUUAUUUGCUUAAAGGCGCACUCUAGAUUUUCACAGCGAUUUUUAAGCCAUUUAAAUGAAUGAUAAAUACCAAUUGAAUUAAUUAUAAAUGACAGUUCAAUUAAAUUUGAGGGUGGUUACAUUUCCCUAGUGUCAUCCCUCAGCUUUUUAGGAAACCAAGAGGCUGGGCUGCCAUUUUGAAUUACAGAGUGGGGAUUUAAAUCAUGAAUGCGAUAUCAAACGUACAGCUAUGGAAUAAAUGUAUGUUUAGAUUAUGAUUGAAUUUAAGGGUUCAUGGUUUCAGUUCAGAUUUGUUGGGUUUCAAUUGAACAGAAAGAAAGAAAGAAAUAUGUUUAAAAGGAAAAGAACAAUAGGGUAGAGGAGAUAGAGGAGGAAAAUAGAUAAAUGUCAUAAAAAGGAGGACAGACAAAUGAGGGAUGGAUGUGUGAGCGACAUAGACAGCAGCAAAGUGGAAGAAGAAGGGCAAAGGAGAGAGAGGGAGAGACCCAGUCAGCCAGACUAACAUAAAACAACUUGAAAGACAGUGUAGCCUGGUGUCACUGCGGGAACAUAGACAAGAGAGAGAGAAAGAGAGAGAAUAAGAGAGAGAGAGAGAGAGAGAG